RNAcentral lists this transfer RNA (56 nucleotides) under Sperchon plumifer. RNAcentral describes it as "tRNA-Pro". The record is from RNAcentral. Lineage: Eukaryota; Metazoa; Arthropoda; Arachnida; Trombidiformes; Sperchontidae.
CAAAAGUUAGUUUAUUUAGAAUAAUUGCUUUGGGUGCUUUAGGAUUUAUCUUUUGA